Molecule: ribosomal RNA, 254 nt
Filed under: uncultured bacterium
Lineage: Bacteria
Description: partial 16S ribosomal RNA
Rfam family: Bacterial small subunit ribosomal RNA
Source: RNAcentral
UACGUAGGGUGCAAGCGUUGUCCGGAAUUAUUGGGCGUAAAGAGCUCGUAGGCGGUGUGUCGCGUCGGCCGUGAAAACCUGCAGCUUAACUGUGGGCUUGCGGUCGAUACGGGCAUCACUGGAGUUCGGCAGGGGAGACUGGAAUUCCUGGUGUAGCGGUGAAAUGCGCAGAUAUCAGGAGGAACACCGGUGGCGAAGGCGGGUCUCUGGGCCGAUACUGACGCUGAGGAGCGAAAGCGCGGGGAGCGAACAGG